UACGUAGGGUUCAAGCGUUAUCCGGAAUUACUGGGCGUAAAGCGUCCGCAGGCGGAAAUUUAAGUGAGAUGCGAAAUCUAGCGGCUCAACCGUUUAGACUGUAUCUCAAACUGGAUUUCUAGAGGAUGGCAGAGGCAAGUGGAACUUACGGUGUAGCAGUGAAAUGUGUAGAUAUCGUAAAGAACACCUAUGGCGAAGGCAGCUUGCUGGGCCAUUCCUGACGCUCAGGGACGAAAGCGUGGGGAGCAAACAGG
RNAcentral lists this ribosomal RNA (254 nucleotides) under uncultured bacterium. Its description in RNAcentral is "partial 16S ribosomal RNA". It matches the Rfam family "Bacterial small subunit ribosomal RNA", at positions 524 to 776 of the family's 1533-position model. The record is from RNAcentral.